CAUAUAUACCGGGUAUCAGGCCACAAGGGUUUUAUGGGUAACGAAAUAGGUGAAGAGAUUACUAAAAGUGUCACCCAUCUUACUAGGGAAACUGAAGAGGAUAUACAAAAGUCGCUAAGAUCGAUCUUAAAUGAAAUUUCCGAAAAUGCACGAAGACAGAGCAGAGUGAGAGGGAACGCCUUAGCAACAUGCGAACCCACCAAGAUCAAGUGAAAGGGGAAGCAAAGAAAGCACCAACUUCAGGUUUACCAAAAAGUAGGACUUAAGCGACAACUAUGGACCCGAUGGUGACGUGGCAGUCGAAUAAGAAUAAUUUGCUAGGUGUGGUAUUCGAAUUGGACAUUUAAACAGAAGUUAAAUUCCCUCUGCUUCGUGAAUAAGGACAUUGUGGCAGACCCUCAAGGCAAAGGAGUCAUGUAAAUUCCAGGAUUUUCAAGCAACCUGGAAUCGGCAGGUUUGAAGAAUAAACGCAGCUACUCUACAGGGAAAGGCUUGAUAAUAUAGGAAAUAGAAAUAUCGAGAUUUGAGCCGAUUACUAGGAGUGCCGGUCAAAUAUCAAUUGUCAAACAUUAAACACAAUUCUCUACCGCUUUGUCGAACUCACUCAAUUUAAGAGCUUCCAUAGUGGACAACACCUGCUUCUACAAUAUAAUAAAGAAAAAAACGCCUUCUUAAGAGUGAAGGAGCGUGCACUAG
Molecule: long non-coding RNA, 696 nt
Organism: Ceratitis capitata (Mediterranean fruit fly)
Lineage: Eukaryota; Metazoa; Arthropoda; Insecta; Diptera; Tephritidae
Exons: 4
Source: RefSeq, a predicted model, not a curated record